AGUUAAUGAACUUGAAUAAGUAUAUGUUUUGAAAACAUAAAAUAGAAACAUUAAUUUUCUAUUAACUU
Molecule: transfer RNA, 68 nt
Filed under: Rhingia campestris
Lineage: Eukaryota; Metazoa; Arthropoda; Insecta; Diptera; Syrphidae
Description: tRNA-Ser
Source: RNAcentral